GCAGGGUGUGGUGACACACACCUGUAAUCCCAGCAACUUGGAAGGCGGAGGCAGGAGGAUAGCGAGUUCAAAGCCAGCCUCAGCAACUUAGUGAGGACCUAAGUAACUCAGUGAGACCCUGUCUCUA
This 127-nucleotide small RNA is filed under the name Marmota monax (woodchuck). Lineage: Eukaryota; Metazoa; Chordata; Mammalia; Rodentia; Sciuridae. The record is from RNAcentral.